Molecule: long non-coding RNA, 581 nt
Organism: Haliotis rufescens (red abalone)
Lineage: Eukaryota; Metazoa; Mollusca; Gastropoda; Lepetellida; Haliotidae
Exons: 3
Source: RefSeq, a predicted model, not a curated record
UCUACUCAUAUAGUUUGCACAACUUUAUUGCCUUUUAUGUCCAUUGGAAUUUGUAAAGGCAGAUAUUCGAGACUUGUUGUUCUCAGGCGUUGACGUUUUAUAUUUACUGUGAGGAUACUAUUAACUAGGAUUAUGCUUUUCUUCCCAGCGACCCAUCUGUCUACAGAGGAGUUUUUGGAACAGUGGAUAUCGCAAACAACGAAGGGUCCGUUCAGAUUUCGGCAUUGUCAUUAUUUACCCGGAUGGGAUGUUCCCUGACGUUCUUCAGAAGAAGACGGUGACGAUAACCAGCCAGAUGUCCUGCAAUGACGACUGGUCACUGCUAGAUUUGACCAUCGGCGGUGACAAACUGUGUGCAACAGCUGAAGGCUUCUCUGAGAGAGACAGCGGCGGACCAUUGGUUUGUGGGGGGAGAUUAGCUGGUCUGGCUUCCUUUGGUGGGUCAUGUGCCGCCAAGGUUCUUCCAAAUGUCUUCACAAAUAUAGGUUUCUUUUUCAGUUGGAUACAAGGUCAAUAAAAAUCUAUGUAUAAUCCUAUUUAUAUUCUAUUUUGGUUGGACAACCAGAGGAUUCAAUAAGAAA